AUGAUGACCAUCACUCUACCAACAAGGAUUGGCCAGACUCGCGCUGUUUGUUCCAGACCAGGACUCUGGCUGAGGAGAGCUGAUGGAGGAGCCAAUACUCUGGAGGACGACAUCACUCUACCAACCAGGAUCCUCAGACAAAUUGCGUUUGUAACCAGACCAGGAAUCUGGAGGACUGAUGGAGAUGCCGUACAUCUGGAAGGCAAAUCCUGAGGAGAACCAGGACUCUAUCUAUCUGGACAUAGUGGACUAGACACACCUGAGCUGAACCUCACCUGAUCCUGUUUGGUCGGGGGUAUACACACCUGAGCAGAACCGCCCUGAUCCUGACAUCCUGCUGGUCCCGUCUCCUCAGUUCAUCUGAGCCUCGUCCUCCAGAAGACCUGCUGAGCUCAGCAGUCUGAGGCUGAUGGAUCAAUGAACUCCAGUGGGAGUAAUCUUCUUGACCCCACAUGUAGCCGUGUGCUUCCAGAGCGCCUUUCCCUCACGUCUGUCACUAACCUCACUACUUCACUACUCUCUACUGCUUCCUCUUUUUUUCCUUCUCUGUGCUUCAAGCCUUUACACUGAAGGCGUGUCUUCCUGCCCUCAGAGGGUUCAGCGUUAGGGUUGAGAGUCAGGGUUUAGUGUCAGGGACAGAACUGGUCAGGGAGGACUGCUUUUACACAAACCUCUUCACUUGCUUUCGGAAUGGUGGUGACAUUUUGAUAAGAUUAAUUUGGGAAAUUUUUUUCCUCUGCUUUCCUUUACAAAAUUGUGUUCAACUUCUGUCAAGUGUUUUUGUUUAUAUAUUAAAAUCCCA
Molecule: long non-coding RNA, 802 nt
Filed under: Gadus morhua (Atlantic cod)
Lineage: Eukaryota; Metazoa; Chordata; Actinopteri; Gadiformes; Gadidae
Description: lncRNA (ENSGMOG00000026731.1)
Source: RNAcentral